CCAACGGCCCUCUUUAGGGCCACAUUCGCUAACGAGUGCUUUGCGG
This is a non-coding RNA of Oesophagostomum dentatum (nodular worm), 46 nucleotides long. The record is from Rfam. Lineage: Eukaryota; Metazoa; Nematoda; Chromadorea; Rhabditida; Strongylidae.